Molecule: non-coding RNA, 23 nt
Filed under: Arabidopsis thaliana (thale cress)
Lineage: Eukaryota; Viridiplantae; Streptophyta; Magnoliopsida; Brassicales; Brassicaceae
Source: RNAcentral
AUGAAAGUGGAGUGGGACGGCGA